CUACGUGCCAGCAGCCGCGGUAAUACGGAAGGUCCAGGCGUUAUCCGGAUUUAUUGGGUUUAAAGGGAGCGUAGGCUGGAGAUUAAGUGUGUUGUGAAAUGUAGACGCUCAACGUCUGAAUUGCAGCGCAUACUGGUUUCCUUGAGUACGCACAACGUUGGCGGAAUUCGUCGUGUAGCGGCGAAAUGCUUAGAUAUGACGAAGAACUCCGAUUGCGAAGGCAGCUGACGGGAGCGCAACUGACGCUUAGGCUCGAAGGUGCGGGUAUCAAACAGGAUUAGAUACCCUGGUAGUCCGCACAGUAAACGAUGGAUGCCCGCUGUUGGUACCUGGUAUCAGCGGCUAAGCGAAAGCAUUAAGCAUCCCACCUGGGGAGUACGCCGGCAACGGUGAAACUCAAAGGAAUUGACGGGGGCCCGCACAAGCGGAGGAACAUGUGGUUUAAUUCGAUGAUACGCGAGGAACCUUACCAGAUCUUGACAUCCUG
This 487-nucleotide ribosomal RNA is filed under the name uncultured bacterium. RNAcentral's name for it is "bacterial SSU rRNA". It matches the Rfam family "Bacterial small subunit ribosomal RNA", at positions 501 to 991 of the family's 1533-position model. The record is from RNAcentral.